Molecule: non-coding RNA, 296 nt
Organism: Pelobates cultripes (western spadefoot toad)
Lineage: Eukaryota; Metazoa; Chordata; Amphibia; Anura; Pelobatidae
Source: the annotation of a GenBank genome assembly
GAGAGAGAUACUUGUCCGUUCCCGAUGACGACAUGCCAUACGUACCCGGUGAUGUCAUGCAAAAACAAUAUGAUGCCGUGUGACACCAUUGUGAAAAGGGAAAACUAAAAUAAACCAUCCCACGUAAAAUUAUAUGAUGAAAUGUUAAAAAAACUAUUUCAAACUGGAUAAUUUUGCUCCGCAACAAGAACUGCCGUUCGAAAUCUUCAUUUUUGCUCUGCAAACCUUUGAUCUCCUGUUGCAUGGAGGUAAUGUGGGUAGCAUUUGCAGCAGAGGUGUCCUCCAGAGUGCCCAGC